GAUGAACGCUAGCGGCAGGCUUAAUACAUGCAAGUCGAACGGUAACAGGCGGUAGCAAUACUGUGCUGACGAGUGGCGCACGGGUGCGUAACACGUAUGCAACCUGCCCUUUACUGGGGCAUAACCUUGAGAAAUUAAGGCUAAUACCCCAUAGGAUUAUUGGAAGGCAUCUUUUGAUAAUUAAAGAUUUAUUGGUAAAGGAUGGGCAUGCGUCCCAUUAGUUAGUUGGCGAGGUAACGGCUCACCAAGACAAUGAUGGGUAGGGGUUCUGAGAGGAUUAUCCCCCACACUGGUACUGAGACACGGACCAGACUCCUACGGGAGGCAGCAGUAAGGAAUAUUGGGCAAUGGGGGUAACCCUGACCCAGCAACGCCGCGUGAGUGAUGAAGCAGAUUUUCUGUGUAAAGCUCUGUUAAACGGGAAGAAUAGAUAGGUUAGUAGCCUAUUAUGACUGUACUGUUUGAGGAAGCUCCGGCUAACUCCGUGCCAGCAGCCGCGGUAAUACGGAGGGAGCGAGCGUUGUCCGGAUUUAUUGGGCGUAAAGGGCAUGUAGGCGGGCUAAUAAGUCAGUUGUUAAAUAUAUCGGCUUAACCGAUAUUUGCAAUUGAUACUGUUAGUCUUGAGUAUGAGAGGGGACAGUGGAAUAUCAAGUGUAGCGGUGGAAUGCGUAGAUAUUUGAUAGAACACCGGAGGCGAAGGCGACUGUCUGGCUUUUAACUGACGCUGAAAUGCGAAAGCAUGGGUAGCAAACAGGAUUAGAUACCCUGGUAGUCCAUGCCGUAAACGAUGGGUACUAGGUGUUAAUGUGGUUAGUCGCAUUAGUGCCGUAGCUAACGCGUUAAGUACCCCGCCUGGGGAGUACGAUCGCAAGGUUGAAACUCAAAGGAAUUGACGGGGGCCCGCACAAGCGGUGGAGCAUGUGGUUUAAUUCGAUGCAACGCGAAGAACCUUACCUGGGCUUGAACUUGUGAUGAUCGGUGUAGAGAUAUACUUUUUCUCCUUUACGGGAGGACAUCAUGAGAGGUGCUGCAUGGCUGUCGUCAGCUCGUGUCGUGAGAUGUUGGGUUAAGUCCCGCAACGAGCGCAACCCUUAUCACUAGUUGCCAGCGAGUAAUGUCGGGGACUUUAGUGAGACUGCCCGGGUUAACCGGGAGGAAGGCGGGGAUGACGUCAAGUCCUCAUGGCCCUUAUGUCCAGGGCUACACACGUGCUACAAUGGGCGGUACAGAGUGUUGCGAACUUGUGAGAGUAAGCCAAUCACGAAAACCGUUCUUAGUUCGGAUUGCAGUCUGCAACUCGACUGCAUGAAGUCGGAAUCGCUAGUAAUCGCGGAUCAGCAUGCCGCGGUGAAUACGUUCCCGGGCCUU
RNAcentral lists this ribosomal RNA (1368 nucleotides) under uncultured bacterium. RNAcentral's name for it is "16S ribosomal RNA". It matches the Rfam family "Bacterial small subunit ribosomal RNA", at positions 28 to 1382 of the family's 1533-position model. The record is from RNAcentral.